Molecule: transfer RNA, 70 nt
Filed under: Luciogobius pallidus
Lineage: Eukaryota; Metazoa; Chordata; Actinopteri; Gobiiformes; Gobiidae
Also listed under: 1 other name
Description: tRNA-Ile
Rfam family: tRNA
About the family: Transfer RNA (tRNA) molecules are approximately 80 nucleotides in length. Their secondary structure includes four short double-helical elements and three loops (D, anti-codon, and T loops).
Source: RNAcentral
GGAGCCGUGCCUGAAUUAAAGGACCACUUUGAUAGAGUGAAUAAUGGGGGUUAAAAUCCCCCCGCCUCCU